AAAAGAAACCAACAGGGAUUGCCCCAGUAACGGCGAGUGAAGCGGCAACAGCUCAAAUUUGAAAUCUGGCUCCUAGAGUCCGAGUUGUAAUUUGUAGAGGAUGCUUUUGAUGCGGUGCCUUCCGAGUUCCCUGGAACGGGACGCCAUAGAGGGUGAGAGCCCCGUCUGGUCGGAUGCCAAAUCUCUGUAAAGCUCCUUCGACGAGUCGAGUAGUUUGGGAAUGCUGCUCUAAAUGGGAGGUAUAUGUCUUCUAAAGCUAAAUAUUGGCCAGAGACCGAUAGCGCACAAGUAGAGUGAUCGAAAGAUGAAAAGCACUUUGAAAAGAGGGUUAAAUAGUACGUGAAAUUGUUGAAAGGGAAGCGUUUAUGACCAGACUUGGGCCCGGUGAAUCAUCCAGCGUUCUCGCUGGUGCACUUUGCCGGGCACAGGCCAGCAUCAGUUUGUCUUGGGGGAAAAAGGCUUUGGGAACGUAGCUCCUCCGGGAGUGUUAUAGACCUUUGCAUAAUACCCUGGGACGGACUGAGGUUCGCGCAUCUGCAAGGAUGCUGGCGUAAUGGUCAUCAGCGACCCGUCUUGAAACACGGACCAAGGAGUCGUCUUCGUAUGCGAGUGUUCGGGUGUAAAACCCCUACGCGUAAUGAAAGUGAACGCAGGUGAGAGCUUCGGCGCAUCAUCGACCGAUCCUGAUGUUCUCGGAUGGAUUUGAGUAAGAGCAUACGGGGCCGGACCCGAAAGAAGGUGAACUAUUCCUGUAUAGGGUGAAGCCAGAGGAAACUCUGGUGGAGGCUCGCAGCGGUUCUGACGUGCGAAUCGAUCGUCAAAUAUGGGAAUGGGGGCGAAAGACUAAUCGA
RNAcentral lists this ribosomal RNA (851 nucleotides) under Simplicillium yunnanense. RNAcentral describes it as "partial large subunit ribosomal RNA". It matches the Rfam family "Eukaryotic large subunit ribosomal RNA", at positions 57 to 938 of the family's 3401-position model. The record is from RNAcentral. Lineage: Eukaryota; Fungi; Ascomycota; Sordariomycetes; Hypocreales; Cordycipitaceae.